Molecule: ribosomal RNA, 253 nt
Filed under: uncultured bacterium
Lineage: Bacteria
Description: partial 16S ribosomal RNA
Rfam family: Bacterial small subunit ribosomal RNA
Source: RNAcentral
UACAGAGGGCGCGAGCGUUGUCCGGAAUCACUGGGCGUAAAGGGCGCGUAGGUGGCUGGGUAAGCGUGUGGUGAAAGUCCGGGGCUCAACCCCGGAUCUGCCGUGCGAACUGCCUAGCUCGAGCAAUGUAGAGGCAGGUGGAAUUUCGGGUGUAGCGGUGGAAUGCGUAGAUAUCCGAAAGAACACCAGUGGCGAAGGCGGCCUGCUGGGCAUUAGCUGACACUGAGGCGCGACAGCGUGGGGAGCAAACAGG